GCCAGGUGUGGUGGUGCACACCUGUAAUCCUAGUACGCUUGGGAGGCUGAGGCAGGAGAAUCGCUUGAACUUGGGAGGCGGGGGCUGCAGUGAGCUGAGUCAUGCCACUGCACUCCAGCCUGAGUGACAGAGCAAGACUCUGUCUCAA
RNAcentral lists this non-coding RNA (148 nucleotides) under Gorilla gorilla gorilla (western lowland gorilla). The record is from Rfam by way of RNAcentral. Lineage: Eukaryota; Metazoa; Chordata; Mammalia; Primates; Hominidae.